RNAcentral lists this ribosomal RNA (1355 nucleotides) under uncultured bacterium. RNAcentral describes it as "bacterial SSU rRNA". It matches the Rfam family "Bacterial small subunit ribosomal RNA", at positions 28 to 1381 of the family's 1533-position model. The record is from RNAcentral.
AUUGAACGCUGGCGGCAGGCUUAACACAUGCAAGUCGAACGAUGAAACUCUAGCUUGCUAGAUAUGAUUAGUGGCGGACGGGUGAGUAACAUUUAGGAAUCUGCCUAGUAGUGGGGGAUAGCUCGGGGAAACUCGAAUUAAUACCGCAUACGACCUACGGGUGAAAGGGGGCGCAAGCUCUUGCUAUUAGAUGAGCCUAAAUCAGAUUAGCUAGUUGGUGGGGUAAAGGCCCACCAAGGCGACGAUCUGUAACUGGUCUGAGAGGAUGAUCAGUCACACCGGAACUGAGACACGGUCCGGACUCCUACGGGAGGCAGCAGUGGGGAAUAUUGGACAAUGGGGGCAACCCUGAUCCAGCCAUGCCGCGUGUGUGAAGAAGGCCUUUUGGUUGUAAAGCACUUUAAGCAGGGAGGAGAGGCUAAUGGUUAAUACCCAUUAGAUUAGACGUUACCUGCAGAAUAAGCACCGGCUAACUCUGUGCCAGCAGCCGCGGUAAUACAGAGGGUGCGAGCGUUAAUCGGAAUUACUGGGCGUAAAGCGAGUGUAGGUGGCUCAUUAAGUCACAUGUGAAAUCCCCGGGCUUAACCUGGGAACUGCAUGUGAUACUGGUGGUGCUAGAAUAUGUGAGAGGGAAGUAGAAUUCCAGGUGUAGCGGUGAAAUGCGUAGAGAUCUGGAGGAAUACCGAUGGCGAAGGCAGCUUCCUGGCAUAAUAUUGACACUGAGAUUCGAAAGCGUGGGUAGCAAACAGGAUUAGAUACCCUGGUAGUCCACGCCGUAAACGAUGUCUACUAGCCGUUGGGGUCCUUGAGACUUUAGUGGCGCAGUUAACGCGAUAAGUAGACCGCCUGGGGAGUACGGCCGCAAGGUUAAAACUCAAAUGAAUUGACGGGGGCCCGCACAAGCGGUGGAGCGUGUGGUUUAAUUCGAUGCAACGCGAAGAACCUUACCUGGUCUUGACAUAGUGAGAAUCCUGCAGAGAUGCGGGAGUGCCUUCGGGAAUUCACAUACAGGUGCUGCAUGGCUGUCGUCAGCUCGUGUCGUGAGAUGUUGGGUUAAGUCCCGCAACGAGCGCAACCCUUUUCCUUAUUUGCCAGCGGGUUAAGCCGGGAACUUUAAGGAUACUGCCAGUGACAAACUGGAGGAAGGCGGGGACGACGUCAAGUCAUCAUGGCCCUUACGACCAGGGCUACACACGUGCUACAAUGGUAGGUACAGAGGGUUGCUACACAGCGAUGUGAUGCUAAUCUCAAAAAGCCUAUCGUAGUCCGGAUUGGAGUCUGCAACUCGACUCCAUGAAGUCGGAAUCACUAGUAAUCGCAGAUCAGAAUGCUGCGGUGAAUACGUUCCCGGGCCU